RNAcentral lists this ribosomal RNA (460 nucleotides) under uncultured bacterium. RNAcentral's name for it is "partial 16S ribosomal RNA". It matches the Rfam family "Bacterial small subunit ribosomal RNA", at positions 338 to 795 of the family's 1533-position model. The record is from RNAcentral.
CCUACGGGUGGCAGCAGUGAGGAAUAUUGGUCAAUGGGCGUAAGUCUGAACCAGCCAUGCCGCGUGCGGGAUGACGGCUCUAUGGAUUGUAAACUUCUUUUAUAUUGGAAUAAACACCGCUACGUGUAGCGGCUUGUAAGUAUAAUACGAAUAAGGAUCGGCUAACUCCGUGCCAGCAGCCGCGGUAAUACGGAGGAUCCGAGCGUUAUCCGGAUUUAUUGGGUUUAAAGGGUGCGUAGGCGGUUUGAUAAGUCAGCGGUGAAAGACCGUUGCUCAACACCGGAACUGCCGUUAAAACUGUGGAACUAGAGAGUAUUUGCGGCAGGCGGAAUGUAUGGUGUAGCGGUGAAAUGCUUAGAGAUCACACAGAACCCCGAUUGCGAAGGCAGCCUACCAAGCUAUAACUGACGCUGAGGCACGAAAGCGUGGGGAGCAAACAGGAUUAGAUACCCGAGUAGUC